UUAUUAUUAAAAGUUUUAACAUUUAAAUUUAUUGAAUAAAUAAUACUUCAGAUAUAUAAAUAGUUCAAAUUUAUUAAUUACUCAAUAAAUUUUAUGAGAGGAAUAAUAAUAAAUCCUGCAGUGAAAAUGGAAAUUAAAUGCGAGAGUCGUUGGGUUAAUUUUCAAUUCAACGUUGCUCCUUGUUUGCUUUUGAUAUUUUUGUGUUGGCUUUGCGGUCUACUCCACACGUGUAAGUCAAUACUGCAUUUGCGAUCUACUCCACACGUGUAAGUCAAUACUGCAUUUUUUAACAUUGAAUCAACUCUCCAUCGCGUCCAUGUUCACUCUCACGCCAUGUGCGGAUGCCGCAUUUUUGCCUCUCAAAUUUAAUAUUUUGGAACUGACCCAUGUUUGAAUGAGUCAUGGGGACCUAAAAUUAAAGUACUCACCAUCAUUAUAUUAGAGUAUUUAAUUGGUACCUACCUACCCUAAACUCCUAUACUUUAUUUCAACGGACAAUUUUACUCUUUAAAUAAAAAAAUAAAUCAAUUACUUUAAAAAAAAAUUAUUUCAUAUUUAUUUAUAUAUUUCGGUAUGAAGAAGUAUAUGUGAAGAAAGAGAUACUUGUAAAUUAUUUCAUUAAUUUAUUGGAUGAGAGAUCGACAUUUUAACCAAACGAUAUUCUAUGUACAAUUGAUAUGUAAAUUUGACUAGAGUUUUUUUUUUUACUUUUGAGACUGAGUACUAAAUGUUUUACUUUAGGAUAUGCAGCCAUCAAAACCGUUUCAAAUAAAGUUGUUAAAAAUGAGAAAUCGUAUUUCGACAAUUAAUAUAGUUUUAUAUCAUUUGUCUUUGAUACUUUUGAUUUUCUAACAACAAAUGUCAUUGAUCUUUUAUAGAGAGUCCAAAAACUCAUCAUAUAGACUUUGUUUGGUAAGCCAUAAUUUCGAGGUUAUAGCUUAUAAAUUCAUAUGACAAUUUAGAUCUGUUUGAUAACCGUCUUUUCAUCAUAAAUUUGUAGCUUAUGUUACUACAUUAUAGCUUAUUUUCCAUAGGCUAUUUCAAAUGACUCAUAACUUAUAGCUUAUCAUCUUUUCUUUCAUUUUUAUCCUUAUUAUUCUAACAAAAAUCCUCUUUUAUUCUUUAUAAUUUAUUUUAAUUUAAAAUAAAAUAAAUAUGUAUCAAAUAUCUUUUAUGUCAUUUUAUAUUUAUUAAUUAGUUGAACUGUUAAUUUUAUCAAACAGUUCAAUUAACUUCUUAGCUAUCAAUCAUCAAUCAUUAGCUAUAAGUUAUAAGCUAUCAGUCAUCAGUCAUAAGCCAUCAGUCAUUACCCAUCAGCCAUAAGUUAGCUUAUCAACCAACCUCUAUUUUUACCAAACAAAGUCAUAAUAACAAUGUUGUGUCUCCUAAUUCAAUUAAUGUAAUUUUUAAAAUGCUUAAAUACAUUUUUGUCCCCUCUAUUUAUGUGAUUGUAACCUUUUGUCUCAUCCAUUCCAAAACUCAACUCUUUGGUCCUUAUAAUUCACUUUUCUUUGGAUUUAUUUGCCCCCCUUAAGUUUUGCACAUGUGACCUUUAUUUAUGACGUGGCAGUCCAACACUAGCGCCAUGUCAGUUUUUUUAAUUGAAAUCUUUUACUUUUUAGUUACAAACUAUUUAUUUAUUAUAAAAUUAAUAAAUAAAUAUUAAAAUUGUUUUUUUAAGUGAUAUUUGAAAUAAAUGAAUACUCAUUUUGUUGAGAAACAAGUGUGAUUUUUAAGUCCCACAUUGUUUAGAAAAGUGGAGGUUGAACACUUUAUAAGUGAGAGGACUCAUACAUUUAUCACCUUAAGGUUCAGGGUGAAUAUAUGGUGUCUCUCUCACUUGUUUGGGUGAGUAUUUGACCUUUAGGUGAUUGUUUGACUCAAUGUGAAUGUUCCCCCUCAUGAUAGCCUAUCAGUGGUAUCAGAGUCCGGUUCGAGUAAUUUGCUUAUAAAAGUGGGGGUUUCAACUCGUUUGUUUGUUGUGAAAAUGACGAAAGGAAGUUCUCAAUGGGAUAUCAAUGAACAAGUCAAGUACUGUGUAAGGGUUACAACCUACACAGUGACGUGAAGCUCUAAUUCCUUCCAAUUUGGAGACGGAGGAACAGUGAGUGAUCAAAUAUUUGUAAAGGUUUCCUUCCGUUGCUAAAGAUGACCAUGGAGAAAAAGAUGCUAAGAAAAAAAGUAUUAGUACGUUAAGUGUUUGGAAUUAUUUUACAAAGAUUAUUAUAGUUGAUGGGAGAGAAAAAUGUAAAUGUAAUGGUUGUGAUGUCAUAGUUCAAGAUGGUUUGAAGGCAGCAGAGGAUGCUUUGUAAAAAAUUUGAGAAAGUGUUAAAUAUGUGAAGGCUUCGGGAGGGGAGAUCCAAGGGGUUUAAAAAAUGUAUUGAAGAAGUGCAUUUAAAUAAUGUACAAUGUGGAUAUUUAAUGUUGCAUGUGUGUACUAGAUGGAAUGCCACAUAUAUGAUGCUUGGAAGUGUUAUUAGGUAUCGACAUGUAUUCAUUAGCUUGAGUUAUAAUGAUAAAAAUUACAAGAUUUGUCUAAGCAUUGAAGAGUGGGAUAUAGCAGAGAACAUUUGUAAUUGCUUGGCUCCAUUUUAUAAUAUUACUAACUUAUUUUUUGGAUCA
Molecule: long non-coding RNA, 2622 nt
Organism: Lathyrus oleraceus (garden pea)
Lineage: Eukaryota; Viridiplantae; Streptophyta; Magnoliopsida; Fabales; Fabaceae
Exons: 3
Source: RefSeq, a predicted model, not a curated record